UACAGAGGUCCCAAGCGUUGUUCGGAUUCACUGGGCGUAAAGGGUGCGUAGGCGGUCGGGUAAGUCUGAUGUGAAAUCUCCGAGCCCAACUCGGAAACGGCAUCGGAUACUAUCCGGCUUGAGGAUUGCAGGGGAGACUGGAAUUCUCGGUGUAGCAGUGAAAUGCGUAGAUAUCGAGAGGAACACCAGUGGCGAAGGCGAGUCUCUGGACAAUUCCUGACGCUGAGGCACGAAAGCCAGGGGAGCAAACGGG
Molecule: ribosomal RNA, 253 nt
Filed under: uncultured bacterium
Lineage: Bacteria
Description: partial 16S ribosomal RNA
Rfam family: Bacterial small subunit ribosomal RNA
Source: RNAcentral